RNAcentral lists this long non-coding RNA (8411 nucleotides) under Gossypium barbadense (sea-island cotton). Its description in RNAcentral is "long non-coding RNA (GBAR_LNC009193)". Lineage: Eukaryota; Viridiplantae; Streptophyta; Magnoliopsida; Malvales; Malvaceae. The record is from RNAcentral.
UUCAAGCAUAAAAACUAUUUUCUUUAACUACCAAAUGACAUUACAUAUAAUCAUUUACAUAUCAUCACAAACAUACCAAAAAGGAUCAUAUAUUCUAAAUACCUAAAAGUGACCAAAAGACUUAAACUUAUCAAAGCAUUAAAAGUCCAUCAAACAAGACUUAAACCCCAAAAGCAUUUUUGUACCACAAUGAUCAUUAACACAUUCAUGAACUAUCAAUAAACAAAGCCCUAUACAUGCCAUUUAUAACCUGGCCAAAAUAACUCAAAAACUACCGAAAAGGUUGUUGGAUAGUAUGAUAGAUCUCCGACAGGCCUCUAAUCAAUCAAGCUUCCGAUAAUCUAUGAAACAAAAGAAAGUAACUAUGUAAGUCACUAGUGCUUAGUAAGCUCAUAUAAACUCAAACAUAACUUACCAUUUCUUAAGAACACAUUAUUAAAUAAGCAUAAUAUCAUUACCAAUUCCAUAAGCUUAGUAAAAUCUUAUACAAGCACCAUCAAACUCACAAGUUAGUAAGUUCAUACAUGAUACAUAUGAGUUCAAUCAUAUCAUAAGUAGAUUUCAUAUACACAUCAUUUAACUCAUUAACCUUUUAAUAAGAUCAUGAACUAUUGUUCAAUUGUAUACAUACCUUGCCUUUAACCUUUACUUACUCGUUGAACCAUCUAGAAUUACAUUGGAUGCUGUGGAAUGCUCACACAUAGUGUGCCUUUCCAUAUAACCGUAACCUUUCCCUUUCAAUAGUGCUCACACGAGUUGUGGGUCAGAAUGUUAACUACACGAUGUUGCUCAAAUGAGAUGUGGAAAAUCCGCAACAAAUGCAAGACCUCAACCAUCAGUAGGACAUUCAAGACCAGGACCCGAAACAUGAAAUCCCUAAUGACAUGUUAUUCGUAUCCUAAGAAUACUUAAGGUUCAAACGGGAUCAUUUAUCGUUCAAUUAUUCAAAGCAUCAAGUCAUGUAUAUUCAAGUCCAUUUAUAACUAACACAAUAUAACUGACAACUUUAAUACGACCCUAAUAUAAUCCCAUAGACUUUAAAUAAAUAUUAAAAUAUUUAUUCACUCAUCGAAACUGUGAUUCUGAAACCACUAUUUUCAACACCACUGAAAACGGGCUGUUACAAGUUGACAUUAUUUAAAGGGGUCACCUCCUAGUAAUUUUAGACAACUUCAACAAGUUGUCUGAAGAUAAGAUUUUGAAGAUUCAAAACUUUAUCCAAAGUCUCUAGAAAUCUUUAAGAAAUAAAAAAACUCAAAGAAACUUUGAAGAAUGUCCUACUAGUUAUGAAAAAAAUUAUUUUUUGAUCUUGUUCAACCAAUAGAAAGGAGGUUAAACUCAUUUUUCUAGAUUAAGUCUAGAAGGUCCUUGAAGUGGAAUCAUUAAUCCAAAUUCAAGUCUUAAAUACCUUUGAAUUAAAGCUCUUUCCAAUUUGGUUGUACCAAUAUAAAGGAGAAGAAAUUUCUUCUUCAAGAUCAAGUCUUAAUGACCCUUGAAGCGAACCAUAUUGGCCUAAGAUCAAGUCUAGAAAAUCCUUGGAUCAAACCGUCACUAGUUUUCAAGAUCAAGUCUCGACGAGCUUUGAAGUGGACUUUAUUAAUCCAUGAUCAAGUCUUAAAAACUCUUAAAUCCAAAUAAAAUUAAAUUCUCAAGUCAACAUCUCUCAAGACUCUUUUCAAUAUCAAGUCUCGAUGAGCCUUGAAGUGACUCAGAUCUAUCCAAAAGCAAGUCUAGAUGACCAUUGGAUUAAUGCUCCAUCAAAGAGAACAAUCAAAGGAUUUAUUGAGAGAUUGUAACUCAUGAUUUUAUUAUUUGAUCUGCUACAAAUUUUCAAGUCUUAUUUUCACAUAAAAUUUGUGUGUACAAAUUUUUGGCAUGCCUGGGACAAAUUUCAACAAAUUUGUGUGUACAAAUUUCUAUUUUGUAGAUAUGAUGGCGACUAACACUACUUUCCUUUAAGGAAAAAAUGACAUAUCUUUCAAAAUCUAUAGAAUCCAUUGUGACAAAUAUCAUAUGAAUAGAUAAUAAAAAUUCUUUCAUAAUAACUCAAAUUAAAUGUCCAAGUGGAAGCAAUCAAACUCCUACCAAUGAAACUUAACAUCAAAAUUUUAAGAUGUUGGUGAAACUAAAGUUGUCAAAAGACUUCAAAAUGUAGCUUCAGAUAUACUUAAGUAACUUGUAAAUGAUGACAUCAAAGAUUAAGUUGAAAAUGUUGCUCUACCUUUAUACACAUACACAUACACAUACAUAAAGCCAUAUACUCAAAGGAUUGAUUGUUUGAAGAUGCUUGAAAAAUAUCAACCUCAAAAGUUUCAACAGUUCGAUGGAAAAGGAACUUUACACCAACAUACUGUACACUUCAUGGGAACUUGUAUAGUGUUGAUAUUAAUAGAGAUCUCAUGGUGAAGUAGCUGUCUAAUAAUUAAUUAUUGUUAUAUAUUAUUGUUUUAUUAUUAUAGUGGUUGAAAUAUGUUCUAAACUCCUAUACUUUUCGUACAUUUGACAGUUAACUUUUGUACCAUAUUAUAUAAUGUUAUAUCAUAUCAUAUCAUAUACCUUAAGAAAAAAAUAAAAAAAAUAUCAAUUGAGCUAUUGCACUAAACUCGCAAAUAAUUGAGCCCUUGCAUUAAUAAACACAAAAUCAAUUAAGCCUCUUUCGUUAACGAUUUUCAUCUUUGACCAUGUUGACCAUUAAAAUAAAUUAAUGGACUAAUUUGAUAGCGACAUGUGGCAGGUUAUGAGUUAAUCUUAUAUUUUUCUCAUUAAAAAAUAUAAAAGAAUUUAUAAAAAAUAUAAAAUUGUUAAAAAUUAUAAAAUAUUAAAAUUUAUAUAAAUUUAUAAAAUUAUAAAAAAGUCAUAAAAAUUAUAAAAAUUAUUAUAAUUAUAAAAAAUAUAAAAUUAAUAAAACAUAUUUGAUAUAUUUAAAAUUUUAUAAGGCUUAUAAAAAUUCAUAAAAAAAUAUAAAAAUUAAAUAAAAUUAUAAUAAAAUAUAAAAAAAUUAUAAAAACUAUUGAAAAAUUAUAAUUUAUAAAAAAGUAAUUUAAACCUCUAAAAUCAUAAUAAACACAUAACAUUAGACGAACUGUUGGAUAAUAGAAAUAGUCGUCAGAUCAUUAGAGUCAUUUUCAUGUUGACUAAAAUAUUCUUGAUCUUCCACAAAUAAUAAAAUAAUUGUCGGACCUUAUCACUUUUAGUGAUAAAUUAUUAUUAUUAUUAUUUUUAAAAUUUUUAUCUUUAAUUAUUUAAGUAUAGUACAGUAUAGUCGUUUGGGCCUUGAAAAGUUGAAAAUUGUUCACUAUUGUAUGAUAUAAAAUAAUUUUGGUACGAUUAAAUACUAUGAAACUAAAAUUUCAUUAUCGAACGGUUGCAAAUAUUAACAUAUGUUAACAUGAAAUAUUCUAACAACUCAUUAUCUAAUGGUUGGUCUAUUGUCACAUGUUUAUUUUGAUUUUAGGGGUUUAAUUUUUAACAUGAGGAAUCGAUAAAUGAAUUUUUAUAAUUUUUAUAUAUUUUUAAUAUUUUAUAAUUUUUAAAAAAUAAUAAUUAUAAUUUUUUAUAAUUUCUUAGAACAUGAUUUGAAUUUAUUUUAUAAGGUUUUAUAAAUUUUUUAUUAUUUUUAUAAUUAUUGAUAAUUAUUAUAAUUUUAUUAUAUGAUUCAUUAUUUUUUUCAAAUUUUUUGUAAGGUUUUAUAAUAUUUUUGAAAUUUUAUGAAAUUUUUUUAUAAUUUUUCUAAGCGUGUAGAAGUUUUGAACAUUUUAAUAUGUUUUAUUUUUAUUAUUUUGGUAAUUAUUUUAAUAAUUUAUUUAAUUUAUUAUAAUAUUUAUACUUUUUUAUGAAUUUUAUAAAAAAAUUAUUAAAUUUUAUAAUUUAUAUUUUUAAUACUUUUACAUUUUUUAUGAUUUAUUAGAAUUUUUUGGAUUUUUUAUAAGUUUUUUAUAAAAUUUUAAAUAUUAUUUAUUAAUUUUAUAAAUUUUCAAUAAUUUAUUACAAUUUUUUUAUAAAUUUUUAAAUAUUUUUAUAAUUGUUAAUAAUUUUAUACUUUGUAUGAUUUUUGUGGUUUUUAUAAAAAAAAAUAUAAGAUUAUAUUAGAAGUUGCCACGUGUCACUAUUUAAUUGGUCUGUCGAUUGAUUUUAAUAAUUAACGUGGUUAAAGAUAGAAAUGGAGGGGCUUAAUUGAUUUUCUUAAUUAUCGGUAGGGACAUAAUUGGGUGCAAAUUUAGUGUCAUGGUAUAUAAGGAUUAAAACUAACUUAACUAACUAAAUUGAGUCAAUUCAAUCAAAUAAGUUGGUAAAUUCAAUUUUUUCAGUUCGAUUUAGGCGGUUUUAGCUUAAGUCAUGUAACGCCCUGGAUAAUUUAUUUCUGUUUCUGUAAAUAUUUAAUACAAAAUGUGUAUUUAUUUUAGUGACUAAGUGCUUUGGGUGUGUGUGUGAGGUCUUGAGUUCAAGUCCUAUGUUUGCAAAUUUUGUUAUUCUUUUAAUUCUAGCCUUACCCUUGUUAAGUGGACUUAUGUAAGGUUGUAUGUUAUUUUAUAUUAGAAUAAGUUUACUGGUUUGAGUGGUAAGGGAGUUGGUGAGUUGAGGGUCCUGUGUUUGAAUCUUGAUGCAAGCGUGGUUGUUAAUUUUUGCUCGAUUGUUUGAUAGAGUUUCGAUUGAGUUAAAAUUCUGAGGGAGUUAUGAGGAGUGGGUUAGUGAGAGAUAACUAAGGUAUUAUAUUGGCAUAUCUUCUCUUUUCUCUUCUUUUUUUUUUCAAAUUUUAAUUAGUUUCUCCCUUCUUCCAAAAUUAACGUCAGUUUCUACUCCCCCUCUACCUUUUUGUCAAUUUUUUUUUGUUCUUCCUCUUUCUGGCGUAAUCCCUAUUCCUCCAUUCCUUUCAAUUUUCUUUGUUCGUUAUCAUUUUUCUUCGCACGGUUUCAGUAAGCCUCUCAAUUCUUUUUGUUGUAGUAGUGUACGAUUGUUGUAGGAAAUCAGAACCCUGCGAUCAGUUGUGUAGGUGAAGGCGAUGAAUCUGUAGUUUUCGCUUCGAUGGUUUAACUUUCGCAUGUAGUCAUUUUGCGGUGGUAAGUGUGAAACGUUGCUCGUUUUAGUUUUGGUUGUUUUUGUAAAUCAGGUGUUAAUAGGAUUUGGGAUUCUGUUUUUAGGUGCUGGUGGUCUUGGGGCUGAUUUCGCAUCAAAAUCGUAACAGGUGUGUUCUCAAAUUGUGAAAAACGAGGUUUUAGCGAAAACCAAAAAUGCCUACUAUUGACAUCACAUGGGCGUGUGGCCGGCCGUGUGCGAGACACGACUGUGUGUUUGACGAGGGCAUGGCCAUGUGCAAGGCACGACCGUUUGAUGAUGUGGGUGUAGGCGUGUAGACCAUACGGGCUAGGCCAAGUAGAGCGUGUCGGCCUACACAAACAUGCCACACAGACGUGUAGGUUUUGGGCCGGGUCAUGUGGGCCACACAAGCAAGGUCAAUCUGGGCGCGUGGGCCUACACGGCAUGUGGGCCUAUAAUUCUAAAAUUUUCCAUAGGGUCGCACGGGUCGUUCCAAUCGAUUGUGGGCCUAUCGUAGGGCCAAUAAGGGCUAAUCAAAUCCUAAAAUUAUGUGAUCUGAUAGUCUGAUAUUCUACUCUGAGUAUGACACUAUUAUGUCUUUCUAAUUAAUCUGAUGUAUAUAUAUAUUUUUGAUAUCUGAAUAUGAGCAUGUAAGCAUGAUAAUUCUGAUUAUGUAUAACUAGUUGGGGUGAGAUUUAUAUAUGUGGAGGAAGUGUUCUGUAUGGCGAUCAUCGCCUAUAUAUUUUGGCAGCUUGGCUGCACAAUACAUGAUAUGUGUCGUAACGACACGAUAUGGUGUGUAGGGAUGGAUGAGUGUUUUUAACCCCACAUGGAGUGUUGGGAUGGUCGGAGUUGGUGUAUAGAGGAUGGGGGUGGGACUCUGCAUAUUUGUUCUAUAUAUUUGUUCUGUAUAUCUGUUUUUGUUAUCUGAAUCUAUAAAUGACUUAGGUCCGAAUCCGAAUUUGAAUCUGAAUCUGACUAUGUAUGUGAUUUAUGUAUGUAUAGCAUGUCCAUUUCCGUUCGGUUACACACUGAUUUUACGUAAACUCACAUACGUUUUCUGUUCUACUCAGGUUAUCCACAGACUUAGGCGGGUCGGUGAGACGGAGGCUCAACGGUGACCACUUGAUCGAAAACUGUUUUACUUAAUAACCCAUGGUUUUUAUUUAUUUAUAAUUAUGGUUUAAUUUGAGAGUUUUUAAUUUUUGGGACUCUCCGGACUGUUGGUUUUUAUUUUGGUUUUGGAUGCGGUUUUGACUCUUUCAUUGCAAUGCUUGUCUGGAAUCAUGGUUUUGCAAAAAUAAAGGUUUUCUGAAAACACGAACUGCAUUUCUAAAAUAUAACGGUUUUAACACUUCCGCUGUAGAUUAUGUUUUGGCGAUUGGAUUAAUUAAAUGAUGUUUUCAGUAAUAAUCAUGAAUUAAUAAGAGUUAUAAAAGUUGAAUGGUUUAACAAAACAACUCAGUUUUUCAAAACCCAUUCUUUGUGACAUCUCCGGAUUCUGCCAUAACGUCUAGGCCAAGUUUGGAGGUAUUACAUUUAGAGUUAGAGAAAUGGUUAAUUUAGUAUUGUCACUUCAAUUUCAAUUUUGAAAUUCAAAACCAUUUAGACUAAGUUAAUUAACUUUACACCUAUUAAAUAUAAUAUAUAUUUAAACCAAAACUCAAUACCAACAAAUCCCAAAUCCAAACCAAACCUUUAUUCAAAACCCAACCAUAAUAAAAAUAAACCCAAUCCAAAUUUUGGUUCUUGGAACUUUGGGUUGGACUUCGCAUGGUUUUUCAUAAUUGUAUUUAUAAUCGUAUUUAUAUAUUUGUAUGAUUUUAUAAAUUUUAGAAUAUUUUUUAUUAAUAUAUUUUAUUUUACUAUUUUAGUUUUGUUUUAAUUGUUAAAUAAAUUUUAAAAUUAUAUUUUUACAGAUAAUUUUUUAUUAAAAGAAAUAUGGUUUGAAAUUAAAUUUAUUAGUAAUGAUGUUAGUAUUGCAUAAUAAAUCAUAUUUAAUUAUUGGUGAUAAGUAUAAUACUAGUUAUCUUAUUAUUAAAUUUAUAACGCCCUAAAAUCGGGGUUAGAAUUAUUCAGGUUAGUUGGUUGAGUUAGUGGUUAGGUGGGACUGUUAAGUUAAUUUUCGCAUUUUAAAAAUAGAAUGAGCUUGUUAAUUUAGUGAUUAGUUCUUUAAAAGUUUACUUUUAGUCUUGAGUUUAAAUCCAUACGUUUGGAAUGUGGGAAUUGUUUUUUUUAAAGUGUUGUUAGUUUUAAUUCUUUAAAAUAUUUAUAAUUAAAAAUUAAAAAAGGGUUUUGACAAAUUGGAGGUUGUUUUGAAAUUUAUUUGAAUAGCAAUAAUAAAUCAAUGUGAUUGGUUGUUAAUGAUUAAUUAAAUUAUAAUUAUAAUUAUAAGGGGAAGUCACCAAUUUUUUGGCUCAAUCCCCAUUUCCACUCUCACGUCUGUUUCACUCUUUUGCUCCCAACAUUUCUGAUUUUUGUUCCUUUGGAUUUUAUACUUUUUCUUUUCCGACGUUCUUGCUUCGUUCUCCUCUGUUCUUCAAUUUAUUCUUUUUGUUCCAAUACCGUGAUUAUUUUCGUCUCGUUGGGGGGUUUGUGUGUUUUUUUUUUCACCUUCAUUUAACUCGGUUACUAUUGAGAGAAGUGUAAGUAAUGUUCUUUUCAAUUUUACAUUUGGGUUCUUAAAUUUAUUUAUGCUAAGAUUUUAAUUGAAAUACAUAUCGGCUAUGUAUAUUUGUAAAAAUUGAGUUUCAGGUUAGUGUGAAUCAAUUGUUUGUCAACACUUAAAAUCAUGUACUUAAGGUGUGUUUCUGAAACUAAUGUAGUUAAAGAUCGAAUCGUUCAUGAAUUUCAUACAAUUUUGGUGUGAUUUUGGGGCCACACAGGCGUGUGCCACACACGGACAAUCUACACGGCCGUGUACCACUACAGAAACUAGGUUAUUAUUGUCUUUCUCAUAUUCAUCUUCCUUCUCCUAUAUCUCUACAACUCUUUUUUAUUUUCUUCAAUUUUAGAAAAGAAAAUCAAGUUUAUGAUGAAAGAGAGUCGUAUAUUUAUUUAUUUAUUUAUUUCCUAAAUCGCCUUCUAAAAGUGUAAAUCAAAUCACAAAUUCCAUUGAAAAAAAAAUCUAAUAAAAAAUCCACUUUUUGAUAUUUCCAGAUUGUUUUGAUACUUGUACUCUCCGCCUAAUAUUAUGAAUUUUAUGAAAUUUAAAAGAAAAAAAAUUCUCUCUGAUGUUAGAAACAGUACCUCCAGACGAUGGCGGCAUCUGUUUGCUCCCCUCUUCUCCUUCAUUCUUGUUAUUGCUUAGCGAGGUUAAAAUAGCUAACAAAACAUUUUGGUUAUUUGAGGUGGUGAAGAGAUUACGCUUUUGAUUG